GUAGCAAGAGUAGUAGUAGUUAGUCUAGAGUGGGAGUUAGAGUCAAGUUAGGGUCUCCGGAGCCGUCUUCUGGAUAGUCUGAUAUAGCUCUUGUAGCUUUCCUCUUUUGUGAUGAUAUGAGGGGAGGCUUGGCCUCCUAUUUAUACUUGAGGUAAGGUGGUGCUAUCCAAUGUUUGCACGGGAGCAUGUAGGGAACCGUCUUCACACAUCGACAUGUAGCCACUCAUGAAUGUCGGUUUAGGGAGGAGCCAGGAGGAGGUCGGUCGACCCCUAGGGUUGGCCGCACCGUGUCCACCACCUCUCGGCCACUACCUUUGCAUGAUGGAUCCUGGUGGACUCCUAGGUCGGACCUUCACGUGUUGCUCUUUGUUUGGUUGGCAUAUUCUCGUUUAUUGCACUUUUAUAAGUUGGAAAGCGCCUUUUGAUAAGUAGUUCCCAUGUAUUUGUGUUCAUGACCUGCAAAGUACAAUUCUCCAAAUACAUGUGGAACUAAGUUAGAACUAAAUUUAUAUGUGAUGUUAGUUUGGCAAA
This is a long non-coding RNA of Sorghum bicolor (sorghum), 531 nucleotides long. RefSeq lists it as uncharacterized. The transcript is spliced from 2 exons. The record is from RefSeq and is a predicted model, not a curated record. Lineage: Eukaryota; Viridiplantae; Streptophyta; Magnoliopsida; Poales; Poaceae.